This 294-nucleotide ribosomal RNA is filed under the name uncultured bacterium. Its description in RNAcentral is "partial 16S ribosomal RNA". It matches the Rfam family "Bacterial small subunit ribosomal RNA", at positions 333 to 624 of the family's 1533-position model. The record is from RNAcentral.
GUUAGCCUACGGGGGGCAGCAGUGAGGAAUAUUGGUCAAUGGACGCAAGUCUGAACCAGCCAUGCCGCGUGCAGGAUGACGGCUCUAUGAGUUGUAAACUGCUUUUGUACGAGGGUAAACCCCGAUACGUGUAUCGGGUUGAAAGUAUCGUACGAAUAAGGAUCGGCUAACUCCGUGCCAGCAGCCGCGGUAAUACGGAGGAUCCGAGCGUUAUCCGGAUUUAUUGGGUUUAAAGGGUGCGUAGGCGGUUUGAUAAGUUCGCGGUGAAAGGUCUGGGCUCAAACCCGAAACUGC